This 253-nucleotide ribosomal RNA is filed under the name uncultured bacterium. Its description in RNAcentral is "partial 16S ribosomal RNA". It matches the Rfam family "Bacterial small subunit ribosomal RNA", at positions 524 to 776 of the family's 1533-position model. The record is from RNAcentral.
GACAGAGGGGGCGAGCGUUGUCCGGAGUCACUGGGCGUAAAGCGCGCGCAGGCGGCAACCUUAGUGGCGUGUGAAAGCCCCCGGCUCAACCGGGGGAGGCCAUGGCAAACUGGGUCGCUCGAGCUGCGGAGAGGCCCCUCGAAUUGCCGGUGUAGCGGUGAAAUGCGUAGAGAUCGGCAGGAAGACCAAGGGGGAAGCCAGGGGGCUGGCCGCAGGCUGACGCUGAGGCGCUACAGCGUGGGGAGCAAACCGG